CCCUUUUCCCAAAUAGAUUUUUGGGCCCAAUAUUGUCCUAUUUUAUAUUAAAAAUACAAAACACACAAGAUCCAUCGUCCCUAAUUGAAAAGAACGCCCAGAACUUCCAGAAGCAAGCCAAACUUAGUCAACAUAAAUUAUGAAAAACAAAAUUAUAUAUUCCCUACUCUAAAAAUCCAUCAAUCAUUAACUACCGAAACAGCAUUAACAUUUUCACCC
Molecule: long non-coding RNA, 219 nt
Filed under: Prunus dulcis (almond)
Lineage: Eukaryota; Viridiplantae; Streptophyta; Magnoliopsida; Rosales; Rosaceae
Description: sRNA ncRNA
Source: RNAcentral